Molecule: ribosomal RNA, 479 nt
Filed under: uncultured bacterium
Lineage: Bacteria
Description: bacterial SSU rRNA
Rfam family: Bacterial small subunit ribosomal RNA
Source: RNAcentral
GAUCAUGGCUCAGAUUGAACGCUGGCGGCAUGCCUUACACAUGCAAGUCGAACGGCAGCACGGGUGCUUGCACCUGGUGGCGAGUGGCGAACGGGUGAGUAAUACAUCGGAACGUACCUUAUCGUGGGGGAUAACGCAGCGAAAGCUGUGCUAAUACCGCAUACGACCUGUGGGUGAAAGCGGGGGAUCGCAAGACCUCGCGCUAUUGGAGCGGCCGAUAUCAGAUUAGCUAGUUGGUGGGGUAAAGGCCUACCAAGGCGACGAUCUGUAGCUGGUCUGAGAGGACGACCAGCCACACUGGGACUGAGACACGGCCCAGACUCCUACGGGAGGCAGCAGUGGGGAAUAUUGGGCAAUGGAGGAAACUCUGACCCAGCGACGCCGCGUGCGGGAUGAAGGCCUUCGGGUUGUAAACCGCUUUCAGUAGGGAAGAAGCGAAAGUGACGGUACCUACAAAAGAAGCACCGGCUAACUAUGUG